This 478-nucleotide ribosomal RNA is filed under the name uncultured bacterium. RNAcentral describes it as "partial 16S ribosomal RNA". It matches the Rfam family "Bacterial small subunit ribosomal RNA", at positions 28 to 523 of the family's 1533-position model. The record is from RNAcentral.
GACGAACGCUGGCGGCGUGCUUAACACAUGCAAGUCGAACGGCAAGGCCCUUCGGGGUACACGAGUGGCGAACGGGUGAGUAACACGUGGGUGAUCUGCCCUGCACUUCGGGAUAAGCCUGGGAAGCUGGGUCUAAUACCGGAUAGGACUCCGGACUGCAUGGUCUGGGGUGGAAAGCUUUUGCGGUGUGGGAUGGGCCCGCGGCCUAUCAGCUUGUUGGUGGGGUGAUGGCCUACCAGGGCGACGACGGGUAGCCGGCCUGAGAGGGUGACCGGGCACACUGGGACUGAGAUACGGCCCAGACUCCUACGGGAGGCAGCAGUGGGGAAUAUUGCACAAUGGGCGCAAGCCUGAUGCAGCGACGCCGCGUGAGGGAUGACGGCCCUCGGGUUGUAAACCUCUUUCAGCACAGACGAAGCGCAAGUGACGGUAUGUGCAGAAGAAGGACCGGCCAACUACGUGCCAGCCGCCGCAGUAA